Molecule: long non-coding RNA, 225 nt
Organism: Chiroxiphia lanceolata (lance-tailed manakin)
Lineage: Eukaryota; Metazoa; Chordata; Aves; Passeriformes; Pipridae
Exons: 2
Source: RefSeq, a predicted model, not a curated record
AAAAUAAAUUUCCUUUAAUUUACCCAGUCAUUGGGACACUGAUUUGCUUCAUAAUGUCUGAAGAUAGUCAAUUUUGGAGGACGCAAGGAUCUCAGAUGGAACCGUAUCGACAUAAAAGUGAAUAUAGAACCAAAUCGCGCUUUCAUUUCAAGAAAAGCACGUAAUGUACAAAUGACCCCAAGUAGCCACACUUCUUUAUGCAUUUGAGUGGAAUAUUUUUCAGAA